UACGUAGGGGGCAAGCGUUGUCCGGAUUCAUUGGGCGUAAAGCGCACGCAGGCGGCUCUUCAAGUCUGACGUGAAAUCUCUCGGCUUAACCGGGAGCGGUCGUUGGAAACUGAAGGGCUUGAGGCGAUGAGAGGGGUGUGGAAUUCCCGGUGUAGUGGUGGAAUGCGUAGAUAUCGGGAGGAACAUCAGUGGCGAAGGCGGCAUUCUGGACCGAAACUGACGCUGAGGCGCGAAAGCCAGGGGAGCAAACGGG
This 253-nucleotide ribosomal RNA is filed under the name uncultured bacterium. RNAcentral's name for it is "partial 16S ribosomal RNA". It matches the Rfam family "Bacterial small subunit ribosomal RNA", at positions 524 to 776 of the family's 1533-position model. The record is from RNAcentral.